UAGCUUUGCCUAAGUCAAACUCUUACAAGUUUGAUAAAGUUCAUAGAAAAAAUUACUAAUAUCUACAACAUCAAAUAUGUAUAGUAUGAAAAUAUAUUUUAUGAUGAAUCUAAUGAAGCUAAUUUGUGUUGUAGAUGUUGGUUCAUUUUUCUAUAGACUUGGUCAAGCUUAACAAGGUUUUAACUUGGGACAAACCUAGA
This is a non-coding RNA of Triticum urartu, 200 nucleotides long. The record is from Rfam. NCBI's taxonomy places the organism in Eukaryota, Viridiplantae, Streptophyta, Magnoliopsida, Poales, Poaceae.